This 1278-nucleotide ribosomal RNA is filed under the name Perisphaerus sp. 1 ZQW-2023b. RNAcentral's name for it is "16S ribosomal RNA". The stretch from base 840 to 1202 matches the Rfam family "Archaeal large subunit ribosomal RNA", at positions 2149 to 2717 of the family's 2987-position model. Lineage: Eukaryota; Metazoa; Arthropoda; Insecta; Blattodea; Blaberidae. The record is from RNAcentral.
UUAAUUAUAUUUUAUUAUAUAAAAAUAUUUUUUAAAUAAAUUUUUAAAAAAUUAUUUUCUUGUUUGUGUAAUUGUUAAUGAUAAAAUUACUUUAAUUAUAAAAAAUUUGUACUGUAAAGGUUUAAUAAGAUAAUAUUGUAUUUAAUAAGUUAAAUUUAUUUUUUGUACCUUGUGUAUCAGGGUUAAUUAAGGAUUAAUUAAUAAAGUUAAUUGUCUUGAUUUCAUUGGAGUUAAUAAGUUAAUUGAGUUAUUGUUUUAUAAAUAUUUAUAAUAAUUUAUUGGGAGUGAAAUGUUAUUCGUUUAUGAAGUUAUCUAGUUUUCUGGGAAAUAAAUUGAAUUUACGUGUUUUAAAUAUUUUAUUUGUUUAAUAUGAUUAUUAAAGGGGAUAAUUUCUUUAGUAGAAAUUUAUAAGAUUUUUUAGUUUUAAAAUUUUAUGAAUUUAAGAAUGGUUAUUAAUAUAAAUUUGUUGUAAUUUGAUUUUAUUUAUAAUGUAAUUUAAAGUGUCUUUAAUAUUUUACUGGAAAGUUUUAUUUAAUUUUUAAUUAAUUUUUAUAAUGAUUAAAUUAGUAUAAUAUAUGAAUUGAUUAUAAAUUGAAUUUUAGGAAUUAGGCAAAAUUUAUUUGUUCGCCUGUUUAUCAAAAACAUCUUUUCUUGAUUAUUAAUAUGAAGUAUGACCUGCCCAAUGAUAGUGAUUUAAUGGCCGCGGUAUAUUGACCGUGCAAAGGUAGCAUAAUAAUUAGUCUUUUAAUUAAAGGCUAGAAUGAAUGGUUAAGCGAGAUAAAAUCUAUCUUGGAUUUAUUGAUUUGAAUUUAAUUAUUAAGUUAAAAAGCUUAAAUUUACUUAUGGGACGAUAAGACCCUAUAGAAUUUAAUAGUUUUGUAUUAUGGUUGGUUUGAAAUUUAAAUAGUUUUAUUAAACUAUUUAAUUGGGGUGAUGGUAAGAUAAAAAUAACUCUUGUUUUAUUUUAAAUAUAUAUAUAUAUAAUGUUGAUCCAAUUGUAUUGAUUAUAAGAUUAAAUUACCUUAGGGAUAACAGCAUAAUCUUUUUUGAGAGUUCUAAUUGACAAAAGGGGUUGUGACCUCGAUGUUGGAUUAAGAUUAGAUUUUUGUGUAGAUGCUUAAAAUCUAGGUCUGUUCGACCUUUAAUUUCUUACAUGAUCUGAGUUCAAACCGGCGUGAGCCAGGUUGGUUUCUAUCUAUAAGAUAAUAUAAAUAUUUUAGUACGAAAGGACCAAAUAUUUAAAAUAAUUUUUAUUAUUUGAUUUUAGUUAAGUAUUUA